UGCGUAGGCGGAAUGAUAAGUUAGUGGUGAAAGCCCCCGGCUCAACCGGGGAACUGCCAUUAAUACUGUCAUUCUUGAGUAUAGUUGAAGUGGGCGGAAUGUAUCAUGUAGCGGUGAAAUGCUUAGAUGUGAUACAGAACACCGAUAGCGUAGGCAGCUUGCUAAACUAUAACUGACGCUCAGGCACGAAAGCGUGGGGAGCAAACAGGAUUAGAUACCCUGGUAGUCC
Molecule: ribosomal RNA, 229 nt
Filed under: uncultured bacterium
Lineage: Bacteria
Description: partial 16S ribosomal RNA
Rfam family: Bacterial small subunit ribosomal RNA
Source: RNAcentral